AUUGAACGCUGGCGGCAGGCCUAACACAUGCAAGUCGAGCGGAUGAAGGGAGCUUGCUCCUGGAUUCAGCGGCGGACGGGUAAGUAAUGCCUAGGAAUCUGCCUGGUAGUGGGGGAUAACGUCCGGAAACGGGCGCUAAUACCGCAUACGUCCUGAGGGAGAAAGUGGGGGAUCUUCGGACCUCACGCUAUCAGAUGAGCCUAGGUCGGAUUAGCUAGUUGGUGGGGUAAAGGCCUACCAAGGCGACGAUCCGUAACUGGUCUGAGAGGAUGAUCAGUCACACUGGAACUGAGACACGGUCCAGACUCCUACGGGAGGCAGCAGUGGGGAAUAUUGGACAAUGGGCGAAAGCCUGAUCCAGCCAUGCCGCGUGUGUGAAGAAGGUCUUCGGAUUGUAAAGCACUUUAAGUUGGGGGGAAGGGCAGUAAGUUAAUACCUUGCUGUUUUGACGUUACCAACAGAAUAAGCACCGGCUAACUUCGUG
Molecule: ribosomal RNA, 484 nt
Filed under: uncultured bacterium
Lineage: Bacteria
Description: partial 16S ribosomal RNA
Rfam family: Bacterial small subunit ribosomal RNA
Source: RNAcentral